This 433-nucleotide ribosomal RNA is filed under the name uncultured bacterium. Its description in RNAcentral is "partial 16S ribosomal RNA". It matches the Rfam family "Bacterial small subunit ribosomal RNA", at positions 29 to 507 of the family's 1533-position model. The record is from RNAcentral.
AACGAACGCUGGCGGCAUGCCUAACACAUGCAAGUCGAACGAGACCUUCGGGUCUAGUGGCGCACGGGUGCGUAACGCGUGGGAACCUGCCCUUAGGUUCGGAAUAACUCCCCGAAAGGGGUGCUAAUACCAGAUAAUGUCUUCGGACCAAAGAUUUAUCGCCUUUGGAUGGGCCCGCGUUGGAUUAGCUAGUUGGUAGGGUAAAAGCCUACCAAGGCGACGAUCCAUAGCUGGUCUGAGAGGAUGAUCAGCCACACUGGGGCUGAGACACGGCCCAGACUCCUACGGGAGGCAGCAGUGGGGAAUAUUGGACAAUGGGCGAAAGCCUGAUCCAGCAAUGCCGCGUGAGUGAUGAAGGCCGUAGGGUUGUAAAGCUCUUUUACCCGGGAUGAUAAUGACAGUACCGGGAGAAUAAGCUCCGGCUAACUCCGUG